Lynx canadensis (Canada lynx) is the source of this 1855-nucleotide long non-coding RNA. RefSeq lists it as uncharacterized. The record is from RefSeq and is a predicted model, not a curated record. The transcript is spliced from 2 exons. Lineage: Eukaryota; Metazoa; Chordata; Mammalia; Carnivora; Felidae.
ACAGACUGGAGAUACCUUGAGAAUGACACAAACAGCAACAUUCGGCUGAAGGGGACUUCCACCGACAAUGACCUAGGAUUGCGUUUCUCUCCCAGGACCCGGAUGCAAACCGUACACAGUUUCAGGCCAUGUGGUGUGUGACGGAGCUGGGCUGGUGCCUUCCAGUGGAGACUCGAGUGGAGCCAUGUUUGCCACGGCAAAUUUCCAGUUUCACAUGGUGUGUGAUGUUACGGUGAGAAUGGGGAAAGAGGGGAACGAACACGGAGCACCUCCCCGGCGCUCGGCCUGGUCGCCUCAUGUCUCCUCCACAAGACCCCUUCAGCAAGGCAGUGGGGCUCCCUUCUUAGUGAGGGGACCUGAAGCUCUCGAGGUUACACGGCCGGGAAAGCUGAAAUCGGGGUUCUGAGCCAGUUCUGUCUCUGUAGUAUGCCCGUGGUUCGCCAUCAGAGGUGAGCAUCGGAAUGACUACAGAGCCGUUGAGGGACCUCCCCCAGCUUCUUGGCCCGGCCUCAGAAUCGGGGAAGGGGACGGUGCGUCUGGCACGCACACACUUCACAAAUGCCAUGCGGGAGGCUGCGAUGCCAGCACGUGAGAGCCGCCGGGUGCCCUCCUCUCUCACCGACGCAGGAGUUCCGGCACUUUCACUGGGCCGGGGGAGGUCUUGGUCAUGCUUUGCGCACGGUUAGAAUACCGUAAGUAGUAGCUGAUGGUGCAACUGAAAUGUUUCUUUGGCAAACAGAAUAUGGUUUUGGGCUGGUUCCCUUGCUGGGAGGGCAGCCUAGCCUGUUUGAUUGUAAGAUACAGAAAAAGAGCCUUUAAUAGAGGCUGAUGUUUGGUGUAUCCUGGCUGGUUGUACACACUAUUGCUCCUUCCAGUGUGAACAAGCCAAGACACAAGUCUGUCUCUAUGGGAUGGGGGUCUGCAGCUUUUUUAGCAACACCUGGAAAGCCAAAAUGAAUCCCUACGAUACAAGCAUAAUGGAUACUCACCACCUGGGAGGUUCAGCCAGGCAGGUGGGAUUUGCUGGUAGGGCAUGGGGCCGGGACUGGCACAGAGCAAGGGGCUGGGCUAGGGCCUGGGGAGCAGUCCCAUUUCUACCACUUUCUAGUGCUGUGACCCUGACAAGUUACCAUUUACGCUUUCUUCCUCAGUUUCUUCAACUGAUAAACAGGGAUACAGGCUUGUCAUGGGGAUUCAGUAAGUCAACAUAUGCCUAGAAUAGUGAUCAUUUAGAGCAAGAACAAUAAAGGUGAGGAAUUUAUGUUAUUAAACUUUGAUCUUGCACCCAAAAGUUUUCUGUGAUAAAAAAUACACAAUUCACUGUGCAAAAAGAAAGAUAAUACUGCAUAUCUGGGAAGUGUCUGAAGCACAGAAUAGUGCCUCAGUUCUGAACAUUCUACAGCUUUGAGAAUUCGUGUUAAAACACUUAGUUAUUUUCACUUUUGUCUUUGAAGCAUUUUUCAAACAAAAACGAAUUCGCACAAUAUUCUAGAGAUGCACGUGUGUGCUAAUACCCCAGUGUGGAAAAAGACGACUGGCCGCUGAGUUGAAGUGACCUGCCCAAAGCGUAGGGAGUCGUGGUGGGAGCUGGUAUUAACUGUUGGCAUUUGCCGGCUCCAAAUCUCGCACUCGGAACAUGACCCCCCAAGGUAACAAGAACCCCUGAGGGACUCUGGACAGCUCAGUGGGAGGGAGGCAACCACAGCUGGUCCCCGCACUCCAGACUGCAGCAAGGGCCCAAGAGCAGAGAAGGAAACAAAGUGGAGAUACUUACGCCAUGUUUAACAGUUUUUGCAGCGUGGGCAGCUUUCUUUUUUGCAUCAUAAUGAGUCAAAAUGUCAAUAAUUGCCAUAAA